RNAcentral lists this ribosomal RNA (320 nucleotides) under Rhogostoma sp. RNAcentral describes it as "SSU rRNA". The stretch from base 103 to 320 matches the Rfam family "Eukaryotic small subunit ribosomal RNA", at positions 736 to 955 of the family's 1831-position model. The record is from RNAcentral. Lineage: Eukaryota; Cercozoa; Thecofilosea; Cryomonadida; Rhogostomidae.
GAUUUCUGGUCUGGUGCGCCUGGCCCGCCGCAUCAGCGUGUGAGUGCCGGGUCGCGCCUGCCAUCCUUCUAGAAAACGAUUCUGCCAUUCACUUGGUUGGGAUCGCGAUCUAGAUCUUUUACUUUGAAAAAAUUAGAGUGUUUAAAGCAGGCUUUUGCUAUGAAUACAUUAGCAUGGAAUAAUAAUCUAGGACUUCGGUUCUAUUUUGUUGGUUUCUAUAACUGAAGUAAUGAUUGAUAGGGAUAGUUGGGGGUGCUAGUAUUGGCCGGCCAGAGGUGAAAUUCUUGGAUUCGGUCAAGACUAACUUAUGCGAAAGCAUU